Molecule: long non-coding RNA, 719 nt
Filed under: Mytilus galloprovincialis (Mediterranean mussel)
Lineage: Eukaryota; Metazoa; Mollusca; Bivalvia; Mytilida; Mytilidae
Source: RNAcentral
AAACGUUGAAAAUAUGCCGCACAGCCCUAUAUUUUGACCUUUGAAAAAAAUUGUGGUGCAUAUGAACUUUCAAUUCUAGGAUAAGAUUUUUUUCAAAACUUCAUAGUAAAAGUGGUACAGUUUUAGCCGUAAAAGGAGUUCCUAUGGGAAAUUGCAUUGUCAAUAUUUACAGAAAUGCAACCUAUAUAGGGUGAAAAAGGGGAACAUUCAGAAUUUAACCAAAUUUGCUUUAUUUCACAGAUUUUAAAGAAAUUAACUCAAAUAAGAAGUUUUAUAAAUAUUUAAUGAAGAUUGAUAGAAUCCUGGGCCUUAAAUAUGAUGACUCAGCAUAAAUUCACAGUUUACAGUAUGCAAAGUUUACUCAAAGUCCUGGAUACAAAAUUAAAUCAUAAUAUUUGCAUAUUUGUAAGUUAAAUUGUUAAGAAGUGCUUAUAUUUACUCUUCGCAGUCAUUGAAACUCAUAGAUCCUUCCUGAAUAUUAUUUAUGGGGUAUUUGAGUCCUUUCGAUAACCCAAAAGUAAGCCGCAACACCUAAAUCUGCUUUUUUGUCAUCACGGCAUAAUAAAUACAAGCUAGAAAAACAAAAAUAUCUUUAGAAAACUUACAAUAGUGUGUUCUAUCCUGAAUAUGUACUAAAUAUUCCAAAUUGCUAGAAACAGCAGAAUGAUUUAGGAAAUUUUAGGCCCCAGGGGCAAAAAACAUAGAAAAGUGCCUACCCC